Long non-coding RNA from Sarcophilus harrisii (Tasmanian devil), 203 nucleotides. RefSeq lists it as uncharacterized. The transcript has 3 exons. NCBI's taxonomy places the organism in Eukaryota, Metazoa, Chordata, Mammalia, Dasyuromorphia, Dasyuridae. The record is from RefSeq and is a predicted model, not a curated record.
UGAUCUCCUGGUUCUAUUCACUUCACUUGUCAUCAGUUCAUGUGAUCUUCAGAAUCUUCCUAAAACAAUUCAAAUGUAAACGAUUCCGUUUCCUGGCGCGAUGCUUAUCCUGUAAAAUGAGCUGGCUAAGAGAAAGGCAGGUUUCGCAGGCAUACAACAAUGAGGCAUGCCUGAUCUUCAUGAUCCCAUUUGGGGGUUUCUUG